This is a long non-coding RNA of Lethenteron reissneri (Far Eastern brook lamprey), 269 nucleotides long. RefSeq lists it as uncharacterized. The record is from RefSeq and is a predicted model, not a curated record. Lineage: Eukaryota; Metazoa; Chordata; Hyperoartia; Petromyzontiformes; Petromyzontidae.
GAGCGGAGAUGGUGAAGAGAGAGAGGUUGCAGCUGCCGUCGUUCUCAUUGGUUCCCCACAAGCACCGAGUCAGCUAUGACGUCACAAAGGAUCGCCGUCCUCUUCAUCGCCGCCAUCUUGAGCGUCUCGAUCACGCCCGCAAUAGCUAAAGAACAUGAAAAAUCACUGGCAUCUUCAAAUACAAAACCCAAAGAACCCGCGGCAUCUACAUCUGCAGAGGGCGAGUCGACCAACUGGUGUAAGAUUGGCGCCAUGGCAGCCGGAGGAGG